GUCCCGAUCCUGGGCGCGGGCAUCUGGCUGGGCCACCGCGCCGACGGCACCGAGUGCGAGCGCUACCUCUCGGCGCCCGUCAUCGCGCUGGGGGCCUUCCUCCUCGCCGUCUCCCUGGCGGGCCUCGUCGGCGCCUGCUGCCGCGUCACCUGGCUGCUCUGGGCCUACCUCCUCGCCAUGUUCGUCCUCAUCCUCGUCCUCUUCUGCUUCACCGUCUUCGCCUUCGUCGUCACCAACAGGGGCGCCGGCGAGGCCGUCUCCGGCCGCG
RNAcentral lists this long non-coding RNA (268 nucleotides) under Zea mays. RNAcentral describes it as "long non-coding RNA (ZMAY_LNC004464)". Lineage: Eukaryota; Viridiplantae; Streptophyta; Magnoliopsida; Poales; Poaceae. The record is from RNAcentral.